UUUGUUAGCUGCUGUGGGGAGUGGGGUUAAGGCCUGGCUUAGCCUGGACUGCGAUAUGAUUUAUCUCUGCUGAAAUGUGUGGUUAGGAAGGUGCUAGAAGGAAUAAAAGGAUAAAGUAGUGUUCAAAGGUCUGUGAGAUCAGCAACAGAGAACUUGAGUGGAAGAGCAAGAACAAAGAUAUGAAUGUGCAGAAGAAAUAAGGUAAAAUCAAGAAGAAAGUGACUGGAAGGCUCCCAAAUGUGUGACUGCCAUGACUCUCCUGAACUCUUCCAGUUCAACCCAGAAGCAACAACUAAACUGUUUGGCGCUUACCUUCAUUAUAAAGACCUCAUGAGAAAAAGGAGUUCCUGAUACUGCAGUGAUCAAUGGGUUUGAUCCUACUCUCUGAAGUCACUGACUGAGGAUUUUAGGACUGAGCAAAGUGUUAUGAAAAUCUUGUGAGCGCUCCCUACUGACCCAGCACUAAUGCUGGGAGGAUCUGUCACUAGAAUUCAAGGGCUGUGUCAGCUACUUGGAAAUCAUAGCAGUUGGAAUCUCCAUGGACUGCUGAUGGAAAGGAAAAUGUAACAUAUGCUGUAUUCACAAAUCCUCAAGGAUAUGGGAAGAGAAGAAGCUUUCCUGUAACUUAAUUUUUAAAACACAACCUGUUUCUGGUGCUUUGAGUAACUUUAAUGAGAGUAUUCUUGAAGAGCUGUCAUUUGUUAAUUCAGUAUUCAAUUUGUCUUGCUUUUACAGUGCCAUUUAACAAGAUAGCUGCAUUAUAGCUUAAAAGGCUUUUUUUUUAAAAAAAAAAGAAAGGUUAUUUCAGGCUUUUAAAAUUCUUAUUCCCAAUCAAGCUAAAUAUUCAAGUGCUUAAAUUGUCUUAUUGUGGGACUUAUAUGUCUGAUCUUUCAUUACAUGUUUAUUUUUGGAAUAAAAGUAGCAGUCAUUCUUUUUA
Long non-coding RNA from Nothoprocta perdicaria, 937 nucleotides. RefSeq lists it as uncharacterized. The transcript has 7 exons. The record is from RefSeq and is a predicted model, not a curated record. NCBI's taxonomy places the organism in Eukaryota, Metazoa, Chordata, Aves, Tinamiformes, Tinamidae.